Molecule: ribosomal RNA, 440 nt
Filed under: uncultured bacterium
Lineage: Bacteria
Description: partial 16S ribosomal RNA
Rfam family: Bacterial small subunit ribosomal RNA
Source: RNAcentral
CCUACGGGAGGCAGCAGUGGGGGCUAUUGCACAAUGGGGGGAACCCUGAUGCCGCGAAGCCGCGUGUGGGAAGACGGUCCUCUGGAUUGUAAACCACUGUCCCCAGGGACGAAAAUGACGGUACCUGGGGAGGAAGCUCCGGCUAACUACGUGCCAGCAUCCGCGGUAAUACGUAGGGAGCGAGCGUUGUCCGGAAUUCCUGGGUGUAAAGGGAGCGUAGGCGGGGAUGCAAGUUGGGUGUCAAAACUACCGGCUCAACUGGUAGUCGCACUCAAAACUGCAGCUCUUGAGUGAAGUAGAGGCAGGCGGAAUUCCUAGUGUAGCGGUGAAAUGCGUAGAUAUUAGGAGGAACACCAGUGGCGAAGGCGGCCUGCUGGGCUUUUACUGACGCUGAGGCUCGAAAGUGUGGGGAGCAAACAGGAUUAGAUACCCUUGUAGUC